Molecule: long non-coding RNA, 5408 nt
Organism: Numida meleagris (helmeted guineafowl)
Lineage: Eukaryota; Metazoa; Chordata; Aves; Galliformes; Numididae
Exons: 3
Source: RefSeq, a predicted model, not a curated record
CUGGAGAUCCCUGUACACCUGAGGCCUUCCAAAGUUUUGUGCCUCCAGGAGCUGCAGCACAGAGUGAUGAUGGGAUGGCAGAGCUUAUUGCUUCCUUGCAGCUCGGUUCUCACUGCUCAACACAGAGGAAGAAGCCUGAGGGGGGCCAACAAUGGGUGGGAAAACAAAAUAGUGGUGGUGUCAGAAGCAAGAGUGGAGCCUGCUGUGCUGAUUUCCCAGGUCCUAUCUGACAGUAAUUGGCCACCGCUGCCUGGCUGCUGUUUUCACUUUAACAAUACCGCACCAAAUAAAUGGCCCUGUGUUGCUGUCAGCGGUGUUCUGCACACUGAGUCCGGCGUGGGUCAUGUUAUCUCGUGGAAAUGAAUUCUGCAGAUUGCACGUAAAGAGGGACAGUGCUGCCCUACUAAAAAAUGGGAAUGAUUAGCACCGUGCUAAUGAAAACGUCCUGCUGGUGGGGAAACUCUCAGCCUUUUGGAGAGCCUGGGCACAUCUAGCUUCGUUCCUGAAAGGCAGAAAUGCUGGAGCAGAGCAGGGGAAUGAUUUGGGUUUUCCAGGGACUGCAGUUGCUCCGAGCUUGGGGACCAAAGCACCAACAACACACGCUGCUGCGCUUUCAAUUCUCCGGCAAUUGGCAACAGUUUAAUGUGUAUAUAUCACCAGCGCAGUUGUGUGAGCUCUGGUCCCACCGGCACCAUUUUUUUUAAAAAAAAUCCCUUUUCCAGUGUAAUUGCUGUUUGUUUUGUCAUUUCUCAGUGGGCAAUUACAGUUCAAAACCAAGAGAGCUUUUGAAGAUCGCAAGCGGAGGCUGUGGGCUUCAUUAAUGCGCUUUUAAUACACUAUGGAAACACACUUGAACUUACCUGCCCGAGGCCUCAGACAUAGGAAUCCGGCUUUGUAAAGCGCUGAUUAUUUGAUCUAUUUAAAAUACUUCCAGUAUUAGCCCGGUCUCCUGGAUACACUUCAACGUCAGCAGUUUGGGAUGCCGAAAUAUCUCCUCCAGGCCAUUCUGCCAUUCUCUAAUUCCUAGGAACUGGAGCCUCAGUGUUGGAAAUGCCACCGUUGCUGCUACCUGGCCUCUUUCAGACACCUCCUUGUAACUGAUUUGGGAAUAAAGCAACAGGAAGAAUAGAAAGUGGUUCUGAUUCAAGCUGAUUCCUCAGGCAAGAGGCUGGGGCCACACCACUGAGCCUGCCAGGCACUUUUCAAAUGUUAAAUUAGAUACCAAAACAAAAAGCAAAUAGGAGAGAGAGAGAAAAGUUCCCUGGAUAGCUCAGUUUUACUGUUUCUACUGUAACAGAGCAUCUGCCCUGGUAAAUUGAUGGGGUUGUGGUGCUCACCAUGUGGCCACCCAUCUAUCCUUAUAUUCAUCCAUCCGUCCAUUUGUCUAUCCAUCCAUCAAUCCAUCCACUCAGCUAUCUGUCCUUAUAUUCAUUCAUCUGUCUAUCUGUCCAUUCUUAUAUUCGUCCAUCCAUCCACGCACUCACACCCAAGGGGUGGAAAUACCUCCUAUCUCACAGCCCUUCUCUUUUGUGUUUGGAUUUUGGGCAGGGGGCAUCCCGUGGACAGUUGCAGCUGAGCAGCAAGACCACAAGGAUGGACAGCACUACUCUGUUUCUAUCACUUACUAGGACAAAUAUGUGCGCCUGAGGCAUGGUUAUGUGUUUCAUUGCUCAUCAAGAUGUUGCUCCUAAAGUUCCUCAUUAGUGAGUACGUGUUAUUUAUUCAGGGCUGGGAAGAAGUUGUGGGUAGCUGGCCUCUGCUGCAUCGCAUCCCAUCCCAUAUCCCAUCCCACGCCACCCCACUGUGCUGGCUGCUGGGGACCCAGUGUGGAUGCUCUGAGGCUCAGAGGAAGAUGAGAUGCUUGGAGCUGGAGCUGAGCAGGCAGUGGCAGCUCCACAGGGCAUUGGAUUGUCUUAUUUUUCAUUCCUUCAGGCUGAAAUCUUUAAAAAUGCAGGAGGUGCCCUAGGCAAGCUGAACUCUGCAUCAACAGUUUUAGCCCUGAAUUUUCCACUUGUUGUUGCUGUUUUCUUUAAUAAGAAAGAAACAGAAUUUUGGAGAGUAAAUCUCCUGCAGUGACUGUGCAGGUUUGCAAGCAGAGGAGCUGCAGGUGCUCAUUAACAGAAAGAUACCUCCAGGUCCACCCCAAUACCUCUAGGUGUGCUGUCUCCCCUUGGCCUCUCAUCCCUGCAUUUGGGGAUGUUGGGAGUUCCAGAUCCCUUUGCAAAAUUUAGGUGUUUUUCCUUAGAUGUUACAGCGGUAAUUUCUCAGAUCUGCUGUGUUUCCCUUGAACCCUUUCUCAUGGACAAGGCUGUUGCUCAGAAGCCCUUGAGCCCUGCGGGGCGGACACUGGCUUUGGGCAAUUUGUGCUCAGGGCUUGAGCAGGGUUUAAUUGCUCCCAGGUCUCGGAGCAGCUUUCCAGGAAAGGCAGCAGUGUCUGUGUUUGUGUUGAACAAGCUCCUUGUGCUCUUGUAAUGUCAUUUUUAAAAGAGGGAAUUGAGUGUAAUUUGGGAACCUUUUGUUCAAGCAACUCCAAAUGUGGCCUCCAGUAUCACCCACCACUCCUCUGAGACCUUGGAAAUGUCAGAUGCUCUAAAUACUCCAAUAAUAACUGAAAAAAACCUGCUCACAUUGCCACACUGACCUCCAGCCCCGGUGGAGUGCUUGGAGGACAAAAAUCCGUGCUAAUGCUGCAAGUGUGGCUCUUGACCUCUGUGCCAAGGCAAAGGGCUUUUCCCAAAGAAAAGAGAGUUUUCUUCCUGCUCUGCAAAAAGGGGCAAUGCCCUGGAGCUGCAAGGAGUGUGCCUGAGACCAACAGGGAUGAGGGGACGAUGUGCCCCAGACAGCCUGGGAAGGAGCUUCUGCAGCCCUAAACCCAAAACCCUUCCUCCAGUCAACCUGGUGAGGCUCGAGAAGCUGUGUCUAACAGGGAGGCAAGCAGCCCUGGAAUUACAACACAGUAAUUGCUUGGUACUUAAAGUCCAGGUCUAGAAGAUCUCCAAGUAAUAACUCAUUGGAAAGAUAUUGAGCUCUCAUCACAAAGAGGAAAUAUGGUCUCUAAACAGGCAGCUAAUGGCAUGCCAUUUAUCUGAUGGCAAAUCAGCCACAUUCAUUACUCUCUGCAGCACAGCCAGAAAGAGAAAUACGGAAUUAGCUGCACUGGAGGGGAGCAGGAUGGGGGAAGGACGUGGUUCCUUACGGCACUGCUCCAAGGGCAGCUCCUGCAGCCUGUACCGGGGCGACAGCAGCUUCCUUCCUGCCUGCAGGCACAGAAAUGCUCCCCAUUAUCAUUUUCACACUGUUCAGGGCUCUUCCUGAGAAAAUCCCUGAUGGUAUUCAAGGAAAAGCUAAGACCGGUGGAAUUUUUAUUGUUUUUGCUCACCUUUGCCAGAACAGCAGCUCUGGGAGCCAACAAAACCUCGAUAUGCUUUUAUUCCUUUCCAACCUCUGUAUUGAGGCUUUGAACACUAAGUGCUUCCUCUGCUUUAUAGCUUCCUUCCUCCCCACUGCUUUUGCUCUCUUCCAGGUAUUCCUGGCAGGGAAAUGCCUUCCUGGCUGUAUGCAAUGGGCAGCAAUGGGGACACGGGGAUGGGUAGACCGUGGGCACAUCCCCUAUUAGCUCGCAGUGAUGCUCAGAGCUCAGCACAGCAGAUUUGGAACAUCCUCCAUUCACACACAGCUGCUGCUGGAGCAUCCGAAGGACUGAGCCUGCUCCCCCUGCCCACAUACCCCCAGUGCAGCCUCCCAAAGGCUUCUGAGCUUUUUCAGGUUGCAGGCACCCAAAGGAAAAAGCUUUGCUAAUUGUAGACUGCAUUUCUUUGCAAAGUAGAGAGAGUGCUUUUACAGAAAGAGGCUCUUUAUCAAUUAAUAAUCCUUCAUUCUGGAGUUUUGGCGGAGGGUUUCCUUUGAGCAUUACAGAAAACCAUACAGAAACAAAGUGAAAUGGUCUUUCCUCUUUGCCAUCUACAGACUGCGUCCGAGUCAGUGCUUGGUGUUGGCCAUGGCUGGAAAUAUUUCUCAUUUUAAUGUGAUUUGGGAUCUGGCUGUGGUGCUGAGCUGCCACCACCAGGGCCGGGGCAGGUCCCCAUGGGAUGUCCCCAUGUCCGUGUUUUACCCCAAGCUCAGGGCUCUCCGGGGCAGCUGGGCCAUGCUCACCCCAGGAGCAGUCCUUUGCGCAGUGUGUACCAAGGCAGGAGCAUCACGGAUAAAUCACUCAUCGCUGGGAAGACGGUAAUAACAGAAGCCUCCAGGGAAAUCUGCAGUACUGAAUAGCGAGUUCUUUUUUUUUUUCCUUCCUUUUCACUUGAAGUCACUUAACGAACCCUCAUGCUGAAAUCUUCAGAAAGACUCACCUUAGGGGGUAUUGGAAAAUAUUGAUAAAUAGCACUUGGCACUUCUGAGGCUCUCAGCAAGUGGUACAGAUGCUGUUGCAGCAGUCGAACUGGAUGCCUCCACCCGUGGAAGUGCAGGAAAAGAGCGGAGGAGUUCAGCAUCCCCUGCGCAUCCUCUGCUCUUGUCUCUUGCCUCUCCCUACAGCCCGACCCCAGAGAAGGCACUGCCAUCCCCACAGAACCAUGUCUUUAAUCCCAAACUUUCCCAAGAAGCAAUCUAUUAGCUGUAAAGCAGUUUCCUCACUUUAUUUGCUGGUAAUUUACAGCCCACACUGUGAGACUGUGUAAUAUUUGCAAGCAAUUAAACAGAGGAUGACUCAACAACAGCCACCUCGGGUCAGAUUUUCAAGUGUUCAUCGUUCAUAAUUAAGAAGGAGCUUUCAACAGCAGUGGGGCCUGGGGCUGCUGUGCCACCUUCCCCUGCCCCAGCAGUGGGUGUAGUGCUGGAGGCAAAGGAGAUUGGCUGGAGGGAGGGGAAGGUCCUCCAGGAGCUGUGCACAGGGCUUGGAGCUGCUGCAGAGCUCUGCCCCUGCCCUCCCGCUAGGUAUGGGUUUGCUGUCAGCCCUAAUUAGCGUCUGAUCUUCCCAGGAGAGAGAAAGAAGAAGUGUUUGACUAGGAUUUACACCCCUCUGCAGACAGCCUCGCUGCUCUGUGGAUGUCUGACAUGGAACUGCCAACGCUGCUGGAAAAUUAGGUUCGAUAUGGCAUACAAGCGGGGAAACUAAGGCACAGCACAUCACCAACCAGAGCCCUGUAACCACUGCAGCACCCCAGAUUGUCACCUGAAUGUCACCCGGGCUGGGUCCCUCCAAAGCCUCCCAGCACAGCAGUUUUCCUGCUGAUGACAUCUGCUGUGUGCAGUGACGAAGAGCUGCCCCAUCCUGUGGCACACUGCACCUCCCUUCCCUGCCUGCUGCAUCCCCCUGGCUCCUUGAUCCAUCUGUAAAGGGAUGGGGAUAGGGCCAAAUGACUCUAAUUCCUUUUGCCUUACCACUUACUUUUUCCCACUGCCACUGGUAC